UCGGCCCCGGUUCACGCCACCGCACCCUGCGGCAGCGACCCGGCGCC
This is a regulatory RNA element of Streptomyces sp. NRRL WC-3618, 47 nucleotides long. It matches the Rfam family "L31-Actinobacteria ribosomal protein leader". Lineage: Bacteria; Bacillati; Actinomycetota; Actinomycetes; Kitasatosporales; Streptomycetaceae. The record is from Rfam.